RNAcentral lists this ribosomal RNA (527 nucleotides) under uncultured bacterium. Its description in RNAcentral is "partial 16S ribosomal RNA". It matches the Rfam family "Bacterial small subunit ribosomal RNA", at positions 355 to 874 of the family's 1533-position model. The record is from RNAcentral.
UGGGGAAUUUUGGACAAUGGGCGAAAGCCUGAUCCAGCAAUGCCGCGUGUGUGAAGAAGGCCUUCGGGUUGUAAAGCACUUUUGUCCGGAAAGAAAUCCUUGGCUCUAAUACAGUCGGGGGAUGACGGUACCGGAAGAAUAAGCACCGGCUAACUACGUGCCAGCAGCCGCGGUAAUACGUAGGGUGCAAGCGUUAAUCGGAAUUACUGGGCGUAAAGCGUGCGCAGGCGGUUUGCUAAGACUGAUGUGAAAUCCCCGGGCUCAACCUGGGAACUGCAUUGGUGACUGGCAGGCUAGAGUAUGGCAGAGGGGGUAGAAUUCCACGGUGUAGCAGUGAAAUGCAGUAGAGAUGUGGAGGAAUACCGAUGGCGAAGGCAGCCCUGGCCAGUCAACUGACGCUCAUGCACGAAAAGCGUGGGGAGCAAACAGGAUUAGAUACCCUGGUAGUCCACGCCCUAAACGAUGUCAACUAGUUGUUGGGGAUUCAUUUCCUUAGUAACGUAGCUAACGCGUGAAGUUGACCGCCU